UGCAUAAUCCCAAAAGCGGAGGAAAAGAAACUAACAAGGAUUCCCCUAGUAACUGCGAGUGAAGCGGGAAAAGCUCAAAUUUAAAAUCUGGUGGUCUUCUGGCCAUCCGAGUUGUAAUCUAGAGAAGUGUUAUCCGUGCUGGACCGUGUACAAGUCCCCUGGAAUGGGGCGUCAUAGAGGGUGAGAAUCCCGUCUUUGACACGGACUACCAGGGCUUUGUGAUGCACUCUCAACGAGUCGAGUUGUUUGGGAAUGCAGCUCAAAAUGGGUGGUAAAUUCCAUCUAAAGCUAAAUAUUGGCGAGAGACCGAUAGCGAACAAGUACCGUGAGGGAAAGAUGAAAAGAACUUUGGAAAGAGAGUUAAACAGUACGUGAAAUUGUUGAAAGGGAAACGCUUGAAGUCAGUCGCGUCGGCCGGGGAUCAACCUUGCUUUUGUGAGGCGUACUUCCUGGUUGACGGGUCAGCAUCAGUUUUGGCUGCUGGACAAAGGUCAGGGAAAUGUGGCACCUUCGGGUGUGUUAUAGUCUCUGAUCAUAUACAGUGGCUGGGACUGAGGAACUCAGCACGCCGAAAGGCCGGGGUUCGCCCACGUUCGUGCUUAGGAUGCUGGCAAAAUGGCUUUAAUCGACCCGUCUUGAAACACGGCCAAAGGGG
This 655-nucleotide ribosomal RNA is filed under the name Pleurotus cornucopiae (cornucopia mushroom). RNAcentral describes it as "LSU rRNA". It matches the Rfam family "Eukaryotic large subunit ribosomal RNA", at positions 37 to 673 of the family's 3401-position model. RNAcentral also lists the same sequence under 1 other name. Lineage: Eukaryota; Fungi; Basidiomycota; Agaricomycetes; Agaricales; Pleurotaceae. The record is from RNAcentral.